UUUUUCCUUUUUAGGAGCACACCUGCAGCAUAUGGAGGCUCCCAGGGUAGGGGUCAAAUUGGAGCUGCAGCUGCUGGCAUACGCCACAGCCACAGCAAUGCAGGACCUGACCCACUUCAACCUACAUUACAGCUCAUGGAAAGGCCAGAUCCUUAACCCACUGAGCAAGGCCAUAUCCUCAUUGGUACUAAUUGGGUUCGUUACUGCUGAGCCACAAUGGGAACUCCAAAAAUUUUUAAAAAUAGGUUUUAAUGUGUUAAAUCUCUUAAAAGUAGAAAAGGAUUAGGGAAUGGAGUGAGAAAAUCUUCUCUGCCCAGCAUUUCCACGUGAAUUGAAAACCUGCUUAACAUUAGAAACUGAUCAAGAAGCUAUGCAUAUUCAGAUUCAAGAAGGUCAACAAUGGAACCAAGAGUUAUCCAAAUAACCAAACUGCUGACUAACACCAAAUCUGGAAUAUUUCUUGUUUAAGGUUGAAGGAACAGAAAAACAAAGCAACAUGAGGUCAUUGAAAAAUUAUUACAAAAUAGGAGCAGAGAAUACUAUAUGGAUGAUUGAGGUAAAGGUAAGAUCUAUGGAGAUAAUUUAAAGCAAACUCCUUUCACCUAAAAAUUUUUUAAAAGGAGCAAGAAUGAGGAGGAAAAGGAGAAAUAGAUGAAGACAAAUAUGAAGAAGAAGGGGAUGACGAAAAGGAAGCAAAAGAUGAAAUAGCUUCUGUAAAACAGAACACACCACCAAAGGGAGUAUCUUAAGAGCAAAAAGAAGAUGAUAAAAUAAGAUUAGAUUUCAUGCAAAUGAAAAGAGCAAUGCUAAAAUUAAAAUCCUCUGGGGGGUGAAACAGCAUGCAGAAAAUUAAAUUAUUAAUAUGGGGACAAAUGUGAAAAAAAUUUUCAGAGAGCUGUCAGUCAAUAUGACAUAAUAUCAUGUUUUACCCUUCUUUUUUUGUCAACAGUUCAAACAUAGGAGUAACAGAUAAAUUAUUAAAAAUAAUAAAUUUAUAAGACAUACUAUACUCAAAAACAAAAUAAAUAUCUGCAGACCAAAAUAAAACAGAAAGAUAAUGCUGCCAGCAGGGCCAAAAGCACUAGUAUGCUGGGCAUGAGGUCUAGAAUAAGGCUAAGGAACCCAGGAAUUUAUAUCCGAGAGAGAGAAGAACUAGUCCCGCUGUGACAAGUUGGAGGCUGACACAAUAACACCAAGCCAGAAAAGAAAGAUUGAGAAAGAAAGCAGGAGCAAAGAGUUAAAUUGCACCUGGGCUGCCCCUCCUUAUUGGAUAUAUUUGUUAUAAGCUUACACUGAGCAGAAAACACAAGACCUGGUUCUGGACCUCAAGGCCGGGUGGAGGUCACAGAGAAAAAUAAGUAUGAGUGAGCAUCCAAGAGAGGCGAAAGGUAAAAGCAGAAGGGAGUGAGGGGAAGAUAUUUAAAAACCCAUGCAGGCCACCUAGCCACAAUUAAAAAACACAUGAUUAUCAGAAAUCUAGCUCAGAGAGAGUCAUCAAAAUAAACACUCAAAAGAAGAAUUCAUUCAAUUUUAAAAGAUAGAGUAAUCUGAAGAUGAGUUUCAAAACAGUGUAUUUAUUGAUGGAGGAUAAUGGGAGAAAAAGAAUAUAUGUAUGUAUAACUGGGUCAAUGCUGUACAGCAGAAAUUGACAGAACAUUGUAAAUCAACUAUAAUAAAAAUUAAAAACAGUAUGUUUAUGAUCUAAAGAGAACUAAGAAAAUUAUAAUGUAAUAAAAAAACAAGAAAUUAUUAAAUAAAAUAGGCAGUAUUGGAACAGGUAGAUUUGAAAGACGACCAAUAGAAAUUCCAGAACUUAAAAAAAAUUAAAAUAUAAAAACCUGUUUUAUCAGCAAAAAUUAUGGAGUGAGGACCACUGAAAAUUCUCUCCUCCAUAGAAAACUGGUGAAAAUUAUCAGACUCAAUUUUUUCAGAACUCUGAAAUACACGCAAAGUCUUGCAGCAUUUCAGGGAGCAUUUAUUCAAGAAAAACAGUUGAAUCUUGAAAAGAACCAUAGCCUUGUGGUGUUUUAAAUUGCCCUAGUCCCAUCCUCCAUUCUCCAGCUCUAUGAGAGUUUUGAAAAUUAACAGCCUGCAAUCACAGUGAAAACUGGCAGUGUGGCAGCCAUUGGAGUAGGCAGAACAGAGUUAGAGCUUCUUCUAAGCCCUGUUGCCAGUGUAUAGCCAUUCCUUGAUCUUUCUGGUGGUUCUUUGAAGACCACAUUUGCAAGACAGCCUUUAUUUGACCUGAAUCAGAGCUUGCCCAGGACAAAAAGCCUUUUCUCUGGGGAAGAUUGUUGAAAAUAUUUACAGGUAAUUGUUUAACUUCAUAACUGCAUAAGGAAUUGGGUUACAGUUGGUGUGAACUGUAAGAUUAACCAAAAAACUUAAGAGGGGAAAGAGAUAUCAAUAGGAAUUUGCAAAACCCCAAUAUAUUCCUAGAAAUCUAGAAGUCCAUGUACAGGAAAGGAAUGUACACAUGCUCAGGAACAACAUGAGCAGGCUCUAACCACACAUCUCUGGCUGCUCUUGAGGUUCUGCACAAGGAGGAAGUAAAUACCAAGGCAGACUUGUCAGCCACCUGGCUCAGUGUUGAAGGCAGGCCUAAACACACAUACAGAGCCCCUUGGCAAAGAUUGGAAGGCUUAUUGUUCUAGACGUCUAAGAAAAUCUCUGUCAUUAGCUGACCUCAGAGCUAACUGAGCAGAGAUUUCAAUAGCCACACAUGACAAAUAUUGUAGACUUUACUGAGUUAGUUCAGAUGUCACUAAACAUAUAGCAACAACUUUAACAAACAGCAAUGUCAAGAAGGCUUGGAGGGGGGGAAAUUGUUUUCUAGGGUUGCCACAUUAUAGUAUUUAAAGUGUCCAAUUUUCAACUGAAAGUUAAAAGAUAUUCAAAGGAACAAAAAAGUAUGGCCAAUAUACAGCAACAACAACAGAAGUCAAUCAAUAGAAACUAUCCCUGAGGAAACUCAGAUGUUGGACUUACUAGGCAAAGACUUUAAGUCAGGCAUUUUAAAUAUAUUCAAAGAACUAGAGGAAACCAUGUCUAAAAAAACUAAAUAAAACUAUGAGAAUAAUGUCUCACCAAAUACAGAAUACUAGUAAAAAGUUAGAAAUUAUAAGGAGGAGAAAAAUAGAAAUUCUGGUGUUUAAGAGGACAAUAACUGAAAUAAAAAAAUUCCUGAGGGGUUCAACACCAGAUUUGAGCAGGCAGAAUAAAGCAUCACCAAACUUAAAUAUAGAUCAAGUGAUAUUAUCUUAUU
RNAcentral lists this long non-coding RNA (3265 nucleotides) under Sus scrofa (pig). RNAcentral describes it as "lncRNA (ENSSSCG00000062484.1)". The record is from RNAcentral. Lineage: Eukaryota; Metazoa; Chordata; Mammalia; Artiodactyla; Suidae.